GCUGGGCAUGGUGGCGCAUGCCUGUAGUCCCCGCUACUUGGGAGGCUGAGGCAGAAGGAUUGCUUGAGCCCAAGAGUUUGAGGUUGCUGUGAGCUAGACUGAUGCCACGGCACUCACUCUAGCCUGGGUUAGCCGGGCACAGUGGUGCAUGCCUAUAGUCCCAGCUACUGGGAGGCUAAGGCAGGAGGAUUGCUUGAGCCCAGGAGUAGGAGGUUGCUGUGAACUAGGCUGACACCACAGCACUUUAGCCCAGGCAACACAGUGAGUCUCUGUCUCA
Molecule: small RNA, 277 nt
Filed under: Microcebus murinus (gray mouse lemur)
Lineage: Eukaryota; Metazoa; Chordata; Mammalia; Primates; Cheirogaleidae
Description: Metazoan signal recognition particle RNA (ENSMICG00000030221.2)
Source: RNAcentral